Molecule: ribosomal RNA, 253 nt
Filed under: uncultured bacterium
Lineage: Bacteria
Description: partial 16S ribosomal RNA
Rfam family: Bacterial small subunit ribosomal RNA
Source: RNAcentral
UACGAAGGGGGCUAGCGUUAAUCGGAAUUACUGGGCGUAAAGCGUGCGCAGGCGGUUGUGCAAGACCGAUGUGAAAGCCCCGGGCUCAACCUGGGAAUGGCGAUGGAUACUGGCUCGCUAGAGUGCGGUAGAGGAGAGUGGAAUUCCCGGUGUAGCAGUGAAAUGCGUAGAGAUCGGGAGGAACAUCAGUUGCGAAGGCGGCUCUCUGGACCAGCACUGACACUGAGGCACGAAAGCAUGGGGAGCAAACAGG